Molecule: transfer RNA, 66 nt
Filed under: Nycteribia allotopa
Lineage: Eukaryota; Metazoa; Arthropoda; Insecta; Diptera; Nycteribiidae
Description: tRNA-Pro
Source: RNAcentral
CAAGAAAUAGUUUAAAGUAAAAUAUUAAUUUUGGAAAUUAAAUAUCAAUUAUUAAUUUUUUCUUGA